Molecule: ribosomal RNA, 543 nt
Filed under: Dothiorella gregaria
Lineage: Eukaryota; Fungi; Ascomycota; Dothideomycetes; Botryosphaeriales; Botryosphaeriaceae
Description: eukaryotic LSU rRNA
Rfam family: 5.8S ribosomal RNA (bases 172-325)
Source: RNAcentral
UCCGUAGGUGAACCUGCGGAAGGAUCAUUACCUAGAGUUUGUGGGCUUUGCCUGCUAUCUCUUACCCAUGUCUUUUGAGUACCUUCGUUUCCUCGGCGGGUCCGCCCGCCGAUUGGACAAAUUUAAACCCUUUGCAGUUGCAAUCAGCGUCUGAAAAAACAUAAUAGUUACAACUUUCAACAACGGAUCUCUUGGUUCUGGCAUCGAUGAAGAACGCAGCGAAAUGCGAUAAGUAGUGUGAAUUGCAGAAUUCAGUGAAUCAUCGAAUCUUUGAACGCACAUUGCGCCCCUUGGUAUUCCAUGGGGCAUGCCUGUUCGAGCGUCAUUUGUACCUUCAAGCUCUGCUUGGUGUUGGGUGUUUGUCUCGCCUUUGCGUGUAGACUCGCCUCAAAACAAUUGGCAGCCGGCGUAUUGAUUUCGGAGCGCAGUACAUCUCGCGCUUUGCACUCAUAACGACGACGUCCAAAAAGUACAUUUUUACACUCUUGACCUCGGAUCAGGUAGGGAUACCCGCUGAACUUAAGCAUAUCAAUAAGCGGAGGA